AGUGAACGCUGGCGGUAGGCCUAACACAUGCAAGUCGAACGGCAGCACAGUAAGAGCUUGCUCUUACGGGUGGCGAGUGGCGGACGGGUGAGGAAUACAUCGGAAUCUACUUUUUCGUGGGGGAUAACGUAGGGAAACUUACGCUAAUACCGCAUACGACCUACGGGUGAAAGCAGGGGAUCUUCGGACCUUGCGCGAUUGAAUGAGCCGAUGUCGGAUUAGCUAGUUGGCGGGGUAAAGGCCCACCAAGGCGACGAUCCGUAGCUGGUCUGAGAGGAUGAUCAGCCACACUGGAACUGAGACACGGUCCAGACUCCUAUGGGAGGCAGCAGUGGGGAAUAUUGGACAAAGGGCGCAAGCCUGAUCCAGCCAUACCGCGUGGGUGAAGAAGGCCUUCGGGUUGUAAAGCCCUUUUGUUGGGAAAGAAAAGCAGCAGGUUAAUACCCCGCUGUUCUGACGGUACCCAAAGAAUAAGCACCGGCUAACUUCGUG
RNAcentral lists this ribosomal RNA (492 nucleotides) under uncultured bacterium. Its description in RNAcentral is "partial 16S ribosomal RNA". It matches the Rfam family "Bacterial small subunit ribosomal RNA", at positions 29 to 507 of the family's 1533-position model. The record is from RNAcentral.